Molecule: RNA transcript, 2303 nt
Organism: Sabethes cyaneus
Lineage: Eukaryota; Metazoa; Arthropoda; Insecta; Diptera; Culicidae
Gene name: protein transport protein Sec61 subunit alpha-like
Exons: 4
Source: RefSeq, a predicted model, not a curated record
UUUGCACGCUCCCUGACUGACUCGUUCAUUUCGAAAAAAGUGCUUACCAACCACGGAAGGAAGGCGGCUGUCGGGCUGCUGCCUGUAUCUGAAUUUCGGGAUUUAAGUUCCAGAAUCGAUCGAAAACAGUAGUAGAAAGUGAAUCAAAAGUCGUGUUGUAAUUUUUGUGCGAAAAAAACGAGUGAAAUUCGCUAAUUUUCGGGUGGAAAAUUCCCGUUUUUUAGCUUUCCCUUUUAGCAGUAAGAAAAAGAAGAACUAGUUCAAGAUGGGAAUUAAAUUCCUCGAAAUCAUCAAACCGUUUUGCAGUAUCCUGCCGGAAAUUGCGAAACCGGAACGAAAGAUUCAGUUCCGAGAAAAAGUACUCUGGACGGCAAUCACGCUCUUUAUUUUCUUGGUAUGCUGUCAAAUCCCGCUGUUCGGUAUAAUGAGUUCGGAUUCGGCGGAUCCUUUCUACUGGAUUCGAGUUAUUUUGGCCUCCAACCGAGGAACACUGAUGGAGUUGGGUAUUUCACCGAUCGUAACGUCUGGUUUGAUUAUGCAGUUAUUGGCCGGAGCCAAGAUUAUUGAAGUCGGUGACAGUCCGAAGGACCGAGCACUGUUCAACGGAGCGCAGAAGCUUUUUGGAAUGGUUAUUACUGUUGGUCAAGCGAUCGUGUACGUCAUGACUGGAAUGUACGGUGAUCCUGCCGAAAUUGGAGCUGGUGUUUGUCUGCUUAUCAUUAUUCAACUGUUCGUUGCUGGGUUGAUUGUCCUGCUGCUGGAUGAACUUCUACAGAAAGGUUACGGUUUGGGAUCUGGUAUUUCACUGUUCAUUGCUACCAACAUCUGUGAAACAAUCGUAUGGAAGGCUUUCUCGCCGGCUACUGUCAACACUGGACGAGGAACUGAGUUCGAGGGAGCCGUAAUUGCUCUAUUCCAUCUAUUGGCUACCCGUCAGGAUAAGGUUCGAGGACUUCGGGAGGCUUUCUAUCGCCAGAAUCUGCCCAAUUUGAUGAAUCUUUUGGCAACGGUGCUGGUCUUUGCGGUGGUCAUAUACUUCCAAGGCUUCCGAGUGGAUCUUCCGAUCAAAUCGGCCCGCUAUCGCGGUCAAUACAGCAGCUAUCCGAUUAAGCUGUUCUACACGAGCAACAUCCCGAUCAUCCUGCAAUCUGCGCUGGUUUCCAAUCUUUACGUCAUUUCACAGAUGUUGGCGGUAAAAUUCCACGGCAACUUCCUGGUCAACCUACUCGGCACUUGGGCUGACGUGACUGGGGGAGGUCCCGCUCGUGCAUACCCGAUCGGGGGUUUAUGCUACUACCUUUCGCCACCGGAGAACCUUUCACACAUAGCUCAGGACCCGAUCCACGCACUGCUAUACAUCGUAUUCAUGCUGGGCAGUUGUGCCUUUUUCUCGAAGACCUGGAUCGACGUGUCGGGCAGUUCGGCCAAGGACGUUGCAAAGCAGCUCAAGGAACAGCAGAUGAUUAUGCGUGGCCAUCGGGAGAACUCGAUGAUCCACGAGCUGAAUCGGUACAUCCCAACGGCGGCUGCCUUCGGAGGGCUGUGUAUCGGAGCACUUUCGGUUAUCGCAGAUUUUAUGGGAGCUAUCGGAUCCGGAACCGGUAUUCUGCUGGCCGUAACGAUUAUCUAUCAGUACUUUGAAAUUUUCGUCAAGGAGCAAAGCGAGAUGGGUGGCAUGGGAGCGAUGUUAUUCUAAGGUGUGGUGUAUGUAACAAACAGAGUCGUACUCAAUGCAGUUAUUUUUCCGCACGUUUUCAUCCACACAUUCAUCACCAUGCAAAUAUACUGUAAGAAUAAUAGACGAUAGGCAGGCUAUUCUCUCAUUUUGUUUGUUUUGUUGUUUUUUGUGGAAUAAACCCCACUGUAGCUUCAUACAGUAACUUAUUUUUUUAUCGAUAAUUGUUAAUGCGGAAAAGUAGGACUUCCAGAACAGAACAAACAAACAAACAAAACUUAUAAGCAAUCUAUGGCAGAUUAUUGAAACGACUAAAGAAGAUGAGAAAACCAGUUAUGUAACAAACAAAUAGCGAAAAAAGGAAAUCAUUAAAGAGAUUUUAAGACUUCCAAUCCUAAGAACCUUUUCCAUGUGAGAUACGGAAAGAAAUCAUAAAACAGGUCGAGUUUUCUUUUAGAGUCAAAUCAUGAGACCAUGCAGCAAAUCUACAGGCUAGCUGUUGCUGUGCUUGUUUUAAAUAAAAUUAUAAAAAUUCAAAUAUAAUAGGAGUUACGGUAUGAUACAUCCCUGUUUCAUCGAUUAUAAGCGAACUUUUUUUUAUAUUAAAGUGGAACCUAAAGCGAACUUA